This 1118-nucleotide long non-coding RNA is filed under the name Oncorhynchus kisutch (coho salmon). Its description in RNAcentral is "lncRNA (ENSOKIG00005046344.1)". The record is from RNAcentral. Lineage: Eukaryota; Metazoa; Chordata; Actinopteri; Salmoniformes; Salmonidae.
CCACCACCACCCCUACUACCACCACCACCGCUACCACUACCACCACCACCACCGUUACUACCGCCACCACCGCUACUACACCAUCCCUACUACCACCACCACCGCUACCACCACCACCACCACCACUACCACCACCGCUACUACACCAUCCCUACUACCACCACCACCACCACCGCUACUGUAACCACUACCACUAAUACCACCACCAUCACCACUGCUACUACCACCACCACCACCCUUACUACCACCACCACCGCUACUACCACCACCACCACCACCACCAUUACUACCACCACCACCACCACUACUACCACCACCAACACUAACACCACCAUUGCUACUACCACCACCAACACCAUCACGCUACUACCACCACCACUGCUACUAUCACCACCACCGCUACUACCACCACCACCACUAUUACCACCACCAACACUACUACCACCACCAACACUACCACCACCACCGCUACUACUGUACCACCACCAUCACUACCACCACCACUACUACUGUCCCACCACCAUCACCACUACUACUGUACCACCACCAUCACUACCAUCACUACCGCUACUACUGUACUACCACCAUAACCGCUACUACUGUACCACCACCAUCACUACCACCACUACCGCUACACUGUACCACCACCAUCACUACCACCCCCACUACCACCACCACAACCGCUACUACCACAACUUCUACUAUCACCACUACCACCGCUACCACCACCACCGCUACAACCCUCACCACCCCUAAUACCACCCCCACUACCACCACCACCACCACAACCGCCACUACCACCACCACCACAACCACCACCACAACCGCUACUACCACCAUUGCUGCUGCUGCUCUGGGGUAAAUAUGACUUUAAUUGUCUAACGGAGAUGGUGGCCCCGGCGUGGUGUAUGUGAACAUGUGUCCCCGGAGCGUCACACAUCUGCAGAGGGAGAUUGGGGAUGUGGGGGAGAGGGUGCAUGGGUUUGUGGGAUGCGUGGUUAAUUUGAACUGCGGGUUCAGACAGGGACAGAGGGGUAAAGGGGUUGGAGGGGGUGGUGUCUGUGAAGUGUGAAUGCCCUGUCAUUCUGCCUUUGUGCCGGGCUGGCCUAAUGAAUUCC